Molecule: ribosomal RNA, 1271 nt
Filed under: metagenome
Description: bacterial LSU rRNA
Rfam family: Bacterial large subunit ribosomal RNA
Source: RNAcentral
UUACCGCAAACCGACACAGGUAGUUGAGGAGAGAAUCCUAAGGUGUGCGAGAGAACUCUCGUUAAGGAACUCGGCAAAAUGACCCCGUAACUUCGGGAGAAGGGGUGCUGACCGCAAGGUCAGCCGCAGUGAAUAGGCCCAAGCGACUGUUUAUCAAAAACACAGGUCUCUGCAAAAUCGAAAGAUGACGUAUAGGGGCUGACGCCUGCCCGGUGCUGGAAGGUUAAGAGGAGAGGUUAGCGCAAGCGAAGCUUUGAAUUGAAGCCCCAGUAAACGGCGGCCGUAACAAUAACGGUCCUAAGGUAGCGAAAUUCCUUGUCGGGUAAGUUCCGACCCGCACGAAAGGCGUAACGAUUUGGGCACUGUCUCAACGAGAGACUCGGUGAAAUUAUAGUACCAGUGAAGAUGCUGGUUACCCGCGACAGGACGGAAAGACCCCAUGGAGCUUUACUGCAGUUUGAUAUUGCGUGUUUGUAUCACAUGUACAGGAUAGGUAGGAGCCGAAGAUACCGGGACGCCAGUCUCGGAGGAGGCAACGGUGGGAUACUACCCUUGUGAUAUGACCACUCUAACCCGCUGCUCUUAGCGAGCAGGGAGACAGUGUCAGACGGGCAGUUUGACUGGGGCGGUCGCCUCCAAAAAUGUAACGGAGGCGCCCAAAGGUUCCCUCAGAAUGGUUGGAAAUCAUUCGUAGAGUGUAAAGGCAGAAGGGAGCUUGACUGCGAGACCUACAAGUCGAGCAGGGACGAAAGUCGGGCUUAGUGAUCCGGUGGUUCCGCAUGGAAGGGCCAUCGCUCAACGGAUAAAAGCUACCCUGGGGAUAACAGGCUUAUCUCCCCCAAGAGUUCACAUCGACGGGGUGGUUUGGCACCUCGAUGUCGGCUCAUCGCAUCCUGGGGCUGUAGUCGGUCCCAAGGGUUGGGCUGUUCGCCCAUUAAAGCGGUACGCGAGCUGGGUUCAGAACGUCGUGAGACAGUUCGGUCCCUAUCCGUCGCGGGCGUUGGAAAUUUGAGAGGAGCUGUCCUUAGUACGAGAGGACCAGGAUGGACACACCGCUGGUGUACCAGUUGUUCUGCCAAGAGCAUCGCUGGGUAGCUAUGUGUGGACGGGAUAAACGCUGAAAGCAUCUAAGCGUGAAGCCCCCCUCAAGAUGAGAUUUCCCAUCACUUUAAGUGAGUAAGACCCCUGAGAGAUGAUCAGGUAGAUAGGUUGGGAGUGGAAGUACAGCGAUGUAUGGAGCGGACCAAUACUAAUCGGUCGAGGACUUAACC